This 263-nucleotide long non-coding RNA is filed under the name Nicotiana benthamiana. Its description in RNAcentral is "long non-coding RNA (NBEN_LNC021487)". The record is from RNAcentral. Lineage: Eukaryota; Viridiplantae; Streptophyta; Magnoliopsida; Solanales; Solanaceae.
GCUAAUUGAUGUACCAAUGAGUAACUGCAUUAACAGUGGCAUACGAAAAAUUUUCAUCUUAACACAGUUCAAUUCCUUUUCUCUCAAUCGCCACCUUGCUCGCACAUAUAAUUUUGGAAACGGAGUGAAUUUUAUUUUCCCUCAAUCGCCACCUUGCUCGCACGUAUAAUUUUGGCAACGGAGUGAAUUUUGGAGAUGGAUUUGUGGAGGUAAAAUCAUUCUGCUUUCUUGUAGUGUUUAGUCUAAAGCUCUUUUAAGCUACC